AUCCGGCGGUGCAGGUAAAUCGGAAAUAGGACUCCGGCCGUCUCGCGAAGAGUCCGAAAUUUUAGAGAAUAAGGCUGCGGUUGGUCGCUUUUUGCCUGCCGCAGCACGAAAACCAAGUAAAAGCUAAGCAUGUAGAAAGCACAUUAGUUCCACGUUUGGACGAGGGUUCGAAUCCCUCCAACUCCACCC
RNAcentral lists this transfer-messenger RNA (189 nucleotides) under Paramuribaculum sp. RNAcentral's name for it is "partial transfer-messenger RNA". It matches the Rfam family "transfer-messenger RNA", at positions 177 to 374 of the family's 374-position model. From Rfam's summary of the family: Bacterial tmRNA, also known as 10Sa RNA or SsrA, is named for its dual tRNA and mRNA-like properties. Lineage: Bacteria; Pseudomonadati; Bacteroidota; Bacteroidia; Bacteroidales; Muribaculaceae. The record is from RNAcentral.